UACGUAGGGUGCAAGCGUUGUCCGGAAUUAUUGGGCGUAAAGAGCUCGUAGGCGGUUUGUCGCGUCUGCUGUGAAAACCCGAGGCUCAACCUCGGGACUGCAGUGGGUACGGGCAGACUAGAGUGCGGUAGGGAAGAUUGGAAUUCCUGGUGUAGCGGUGGAAUGCGCAGAUAUCAGGAGGAACACCGAUGGCGAAGGCAGGUCUCUGGGCCGAUACUGACGCUGAGGAGCGAAAGCGUGGGGAGCGAACAGG
Molecule: ribosomal RNA, 253 nt
Filed under: uncultured bacterium
Lineage: Bacteria
Description: partial 16S ribosomal RNA
Rfam family: Bacterial small subunit ribosomal RNA
Source: RNAcentral